AUGUCAAAAGAAGAGAAAAGGAAAGGAAAACGCAUCCCAUUCCCAUCCCCCACCCAUCUCUCUCCCCUCGCCGCCGCCGUCGUCGCGAUUCCGGCGAGUUUCGGCGGCACGCAGCAGCGCACCGCCGACACCACCUCGCUCCGGCCCUUCCUCCUCCCCGUGGCUAGGGUCGCGGGCAUGUCCCUGGCUCGAGCUGCUCAGAUCCACGCCGCCGUCCUCCUCCACAACCACGCAGCGGCGGCGGAGGACGCGAAGGAGCCAUGCCAUGGACCCCAAACCCUUGCUCGCGGCCAUGGAUCUGCAGGCAGGAGGAGUCUUCUCCCUCCAUGGACAUGGAGGUCCGCCGUGGAAGAAGGCCUGGAGCUCGUCAUGGACGAGAAAACGGCAGAAAUCUGA
This 396-nucleotide ribosomal RNA is filed under the name Triticum aestivum (bread wheat). Its description in RNAcentral is "partial small subunit ribosomal RNA". Lineage: Eukaryota; Viridiplantae; Streptophyta; Magnoliopsida; Poales; Poaceae. The record is from RNAcentral.